GACGAACGCUGGCGGCGUGCUUAACACAUGCAAGUCGAACGGAAAGGCCCUGCUUUUGUGGGGUGCUCGAGUGGCGAGCGGGUGAGUAACACGUGAGUAACCUGCCCUUGACUUUGGGAUAACUUCAGGAAACUGGGGCUAAUACCGGAUAGGAGCUCCUGCUGCAUGGUGGGGGUUGGAAAGUUUCGGCGGUUGGGGAUGGACUCGCGGCUUAUCAGCUUGUUGGUGGGGUAGUGGCUUACCAAGGCUUUGACGGGUAGCCGGCCUGAGAGGGUGACCGGCCACAUUGGGACUGAGAUACGGCCCAGACUCCUACGGGAGGCAGCAGUGGGGAAUAUUGCACAAUGGGCGGAAGCCUGAUGCAGCAACGCCGCGUGCGGGAUGACGGCCUUCGGGUUGUAAACCGCUUUCGCCUGUGACGAAGCGUGAGUGACGGUAAUGGGUAAAGAAGCACCGGCUAACUACGUGCCAGCAGCCGCGGUGAUACGUAGGGUGCGAGCGUUGUCCGGAUUUAUUGGGCGUAAAGGGCUCGUAGGUGGUUGAUCGCGUCGGAAGUGUAAUCUUGGGGCUUAACCCUGAGCGUGCUUUCGAUACGGGUUGACUUGAGGAAGGUAGGGGAGAAUGGAAUUCCUGGUGGAGCGGUGGAAUGCGCAGAUAUCAGGAGGAACACCAGUGGCGAAGGCGGUUCUCUGGGCCUUUCCUGACGCUGAGGAGCGAAAGCGUGGGGAGCGAACAGGCUUAGAUACCCUGGUAGUCCACGCUGUAAACGGUGGGUACUAGGUGUGGGGUCCAUUCCACGGGUUCCGUGCCGUAGCUAACGCUUUAAGUACCCCGCCUGGGGAGUACGGCCGCAAGGCUAAAACUCAAAGGAAUUGACGGGGCCCCGCACAAGCGGCGGAGCAUGCGGAUUAAUUCGAUGCAACGCGUAGAACCUUACCUGGGUUUGACAUGGAUCGGGAGUGCUCAGAGAUGGGUGUGCCUCUUUUGGGGUCGGUUCACAGGUGGUGCAUGGCUGUCGUCAGCUCGUGUCGUGAGAUGUUGGGUUAAGUCCCGCAACGAGCGCAACCCUUGUUCACUGUUGCCAGCACGUUAUGGUGGGGACUCAGUGGAGACCGCCGGGGUCAACUCGGAGGAAGGUGGGGAUGACGUCAAGUCAUCAUGCCCCUUAUGUCCAGGGCUUCACGCAUGCUACAAUGGCUGGUACAGAGAGUGGCGAGCCUGUGAGGGUGAGCGAAUCUCGGAAAGCCGGUCUCAGUUCGGAUUGGGGUCUGCAACUCGACCUCAUGAAGUCGGAGUCGCUAGUAGUCGCAGAUCAGCAACGCUGCGGUGAAUACGUUCCCGGG
This 1343-nucleotide ribosomal RNA is filed under the name uncultured bacterium. Its description in RNAcentral is "16S ribosomal RNA". It matches the Rfam family "Bacterial small subunit ribosomal RNA", at positions 28 to 1378 of the family's 1533-position model. The record is from RNAcentral.